This is a long non-coding RNA of Monomorium pharaonis (pharaoh ant), 2366 nucleotides long. RefSeq lists it as uncharacterized. Lineage: Eukaryota; Metazoa; Arthropoda; Insecta; Hymenoptera; Formicidae. The transcript is spliced from 4 exons. The record is from RefSeq and is a predicted model, not a curated record.
AAGUACACGCAGCGACUGUGAUCACGUGGUAUACUAAAACGGAGGUUUUUGGUAUGCUAAAUGGGAGGUUAUGCUAAAUGAGAGUAUACUAAAUGGGAGGUCCGACUGUAUUCUGCAUACGGCUUCUGCAUGUAGAAUGUACCACGCAAUUUACAUUGAUUAACUGCAAUAAAUUAAAAUUUUCCUAAGCAAUCAUAAUGCGUUAUAGCUCGUAUUAGAUAACAGUAGUAACAAAUUAUUUUUUCUACUGUCAAAUCUUGGUACUCAGAUAUUAAUAAUAUUUCUGUUUGUGUAAAUUUGUAUACUUUUUUUAACUUAAAAAAUUGUGAGCCGACGGGAUUUUCUCAGACUUAUACAUACAAAUACAGUUCUUCCUUUGUUAUUAUUCAGAUUCGAAUACUGGCUAAUGUGAUUUUUUUGUAACCAAUUAAUUUUCUGCAACGAUUCUAAAUAAAUACUUAUCAACAUUAAGUAAUUAAAAAAUUGUCAAUUUUUAAUAGAGUAAAUUUAAUAUUCUAAUGAAAAAACUAUUAUAAGUUUGACAAACUCCAGCAACGAGCAAUUUAUCAAGUUGAGGAAAGAAUAAAAAUUCACACAAGGAGAAAUAUUAUUUGAUUAUGCUGUGUAAAAGCUGCAUGCUUGUGCAUAAUACAAUUGAUCAAACGAUGAAUUAAAAGACUCGCUUUUUAUUACUCGAUCUUGAUUUUCGUCAUCAGAUGUCUAGAAUCAUUUCUUAAUAUUACCGAACACUCAUUUGUAUGAUCAUGAAAAGAUUUUCUUGUGAAGGGUAUACUAUUAUUGAGUUAAUCUCAAACUUAUACUGAACUCAGGACUUAUACUGAAUUGAUUACUGAUACUGCAGCGACGCUAUCACUACAUUUAUUAUCACAAAGUUGAAGUAUUGUGCACAAUAUAUAUUAAGUGAAAGUAAUGGCUUUGCAAUCCUACAAUAUGCAUAUAUUCCGCAUAUAAAAUGUACCACGCAUUUUACAUUGAUUAACUGCAAUAAAUUAAAAUUUUCGAAUUUGUACUUUACACUUCAUUAAAGUUAUGAGAAGAUAGGUGACUUCACAAUAUGUCACUUUAACAGAAUCGGAUUUUGAUAAUAUCGUAGCAGAAUGGCUGCGUUUUGCUAAACAACUUAAAAGCAGAGAAACUGAACAAACAAAUAGAAAAGCUGAAGAACGUAUUAUUUAGGAAUAAAUUUGAAGGAAAUACUUUUUGACGAAGAGUACCUGCUCAGUAGCUAACAGACUGUAAAGAAAAAUCUUACAAUAUUUCAAAAAGUAUGCAUGUCCAACGUUUAACAAAUCUUAGUAAUACAUUUUUUUGAUUCUUAGAUAGUAAAUCAAAUAGAUUGUACUUGCUAUAUCGAUUAAUGCAGUAAGUGCCAUUUAUAGAUAGCAAAAUCUGCAUCGAUAGAGUCUCUUUGAGAUGAACCGGUGGGUGCUGGGACCAUCAUCCGUGGAUGACAAAGUCCGCACCGGUAGUCUUUUCGAGACGAAUUGGUAGGUGUUGGGAUUGCUAUCCAUGAAUGGCGGAUUUCACAUCUGUGGAAUUAUUUUGAUUUAUCAAAGUAUUUCUGUAUUACGAUUAAAUUUACAAAAUAUAUUUUCGUUAUUAUAUUAUGGUUUUCUUACUUUUUGAAUUUUAUCUCACGGCAUCUAAAUUUUUGCGAUUGAAUUUAUGAAUAAAUCAUGCGAGAAAAAGCAAACAAAAAGAUUAGCGAGGACUAAUGCAUACAUUUUGAAAUAUUGUGAGAUUUGGUCGCAAAUAUUUACAACAAACGAAAAGUUCGCGAGUAAUGCGAUGUUUUUUUUCUUGUGCAACACUUUUUGCGUCGUAAAAGCUGUCGACAUUUUGUGCAGUUGUCGCGCAAAUAUUUUAUAAUGUAGUGGUGUAGUGAAUCCUUGUUUUUUGAUAAAAUUUUAUUUUUAAUAGGCUCUACAUUGUACCGGCAAAACUGCAAUCACAAUUUAAUGCCUUUGUGUUACUUGUGUACUUUUUUGCAAGCCGAGAAAACUGCUGCUGUGUUUUUUUCCUUAUACAACAUCUUUUGCGACGGAGAAACUGCCGAAGUUUUGUAGAACUGCGUCCAAAAAAGUCUUAUUUUAUGUUAAUGUAGUAUACCUGCGUUUAGUAUACCUGCGUUUUAAGUAAAAUUUUGUUUUUAAUAGCUCUACAUAGUAGCAUUAAAAUUGUACAAUUAAUUUUCUCGCUCUGCGAAAAACAAUCAAAGUGAAUUAAAUUUUGAUUGCACAGUUGCUAAUGCUAAUAUGUUUUUUCUUAUGCGACACUUUUUGCAACGGAGAAACUAUUUUUCGAUAUUCUGUAUAACUAUCGUGCCUAAAAAUGUCCUAUUUUAC